Molecule: long non-coding RNA, 579 nt
Filed under: Phoenix dactylifera (date palm)
Lineage: Eukaryota; Viridiplantae; Streptophyta; Magnoliopsida; Arecales; Arecaceae
Description: long non-coding RNA (PDAC_LNC006741)
Source: RNAcentral
AGGAUGGUAGGAGAGAAACUUAAGGGUUACAUCAACUUGUAGUUCAUAUGUCCUAGUUGCUCAGAAGUAUAAAACAAGUUGCCACAAAUUCUGAUUGUGAAAGGACAAAACUUUGUAAUAAGUACUGCCAUCAACCGAUCCAUAUAUAUUACUACCACCAAAAUGAAAGUAUUCUUUGUCCAUGUUUGCUUCACCUUGCUUAGAAAACAUGUCCACAUGUUUGAAUGCUAGAGAGUUUAACAAAAGAUUUACCUUGUCAAAAAAAAUUUAAAAAGAAAUACAAUAAUAAUCAUCUAUGUUGAAGGUAUAGGCUAAUCUAGUUGGUAAUUUUUUUUUUGGUAUAUCGGUAGCUCACAUCAAACGAGCAUAAGUGCCACCCGCAGCAUCAAGAGAAAGAAAACGACAUAAAGGUAAUGGGGCAAUUGCCAUCUCAGUCCAUGAUACCUCUCCGAAAUGAUGAGCAGCAUAAGAGGCAACCCAAUCUACAGCCUUGUUCGCCUCUUGAAAUACAUGGACAACCUGGAUCGAGCGGCAACCAGACACCAGCCUCUAUAUGUCCCUAAGUAUGGGGUGACCCUC